UGAAAAGCGUAGAAGAGGAUAAGUAGUUUUAUGACAGGCAUUCACAGAGAGCCGGACCUGCUGAAAACCGGUAAUGCCCUCUUAAAAUGAACUCACCUCUGAGCGCAGUCCUGAAAGAUGAUCGAUUAGGGGCUGCCGGGUGUUCUUCACCCGUUAUCAAAACGGACAGCAUUUGGCUGUUCAUGAGUGCACGCACUAUAAGCGUGAAUCAGGGUGGUACCGUGGAACAGGUUAUCAAAGCCUUUUCAUCCCUUAU
This 256-nucleotide non-coding RNA is filed under the name Bacillus sp. (in: firmicutes). Its description in RNAcentral is "Bacillus sp. T-box sequence". It matches the Rfam family "T-box leader". Rfam says of the family: Uncharged tRNA acts as the effector for transcription antitermination of genes in the T-box leader family. The record is from RNAcentral. Lineage: Bacteria; Bacillati; Bacillota; Bacilli; Caryophanales; Bacillaceae.